This is a long non-coding RNA of Phragmites australis (common reed), 1447 nucleotides long. RefSeq lists it as uncharacterized. The transcript has 4 exons. Lineage: Eukaryota; Viridiplantae; Streptophyta; Magnoliopsida; Poales; Poaceae. The record is from RefSeq and is a predicted model, not a curated record.
UCGAGUUCAGCUUGGACAGCAGAUCCACCAGCUUCUGCACGCCUGCCUGGUACUCCGCUUCCUUCCGUCGAUCGCUCCGCCGCCGCCGCCAUCCCACAAAACCAGAGCAGAGCGAAAAACCCUAACCAACAGCCCCGAUCCAAAGAAAGAGAGAAGAAGAGCAUCAGGAGGCGUUUAGAGUAAUGGAGCGGACGGCGUACUCUCGCACGAACCACUCCGCAUCUCCUGCUCCCUGGUCUGCUCGAUUCCCACCAAACCCCGCUCGUCCAGAUCUAAAUCCGGCGCUCCAAUGCCCGAGGCGCCACCGCCGGCGCUGCUGCCACUGCAGGCGGCGGCGAGCGCUUCGGCGGCCGUCCUCCUGCCGCGAGCGUGGCGGCGGCGCCUUCGGGGGUUGCUGGGGGCGCGCUGGUAAUGCCGUGGCUGGCUUCCUGUAGUUAGCUAUGAGUGUCUCAUGGCUGCUGAGGGGAAUGAAAGUCUGAUGACUCGGCGGUUCCCAAUUCAAAAUUUUGGCCCAGCAUGUGUGUGCCAGUUCUUUUCAUUUCGCAAUCUGGCUUGCUCUAGAAUUUAUCUUAGGAUGAAGGCGGGGAGCUAGAGUGUUCCUAGCUGCGAUAAUAUUUCAUUCCUAUCUAAAAAGCACACACUAAGUUUCCUUAGUACUACUGUUCAUAAGAUCUUCAAUUCCUGUCAUCACGUUAUCCUGGAGCUAAAGUAUUAGGGUAAUGUAACUCUGGAAUGCCAUGAAAAUGACCUUUUAUAAUAGAAGCUGUCCACUUUUUGGUGCUGGAUUUAGUAAAAUUUUGCUGAGGCGUGAUUCAUAUUGUUGAAAUAUUUGAAGGAAGAGGCGGCUGGUGCUGCAAAAGAGAAGAGGCCUCACAGGGUUAUGCUCACCUGUCUACUCGCCUUGGCAGCCCAUGCCUUGGGAGAGCUACACUUCUGAUCCUCUUUCAUUUUGUUGCUAAAGGGCUGCUGGCAGUUUUAGCCAUCCCAAGGAUACUGUACUGGAGUUGGAAUUUCAGGGCAUCAAAAAGCAAUUUGCUAUGCUCCAGGAACACUACGAAAUGAUUGUGAUCAUGAGAUAUUUGCAGCUGCAAUAGACAUAAAUAACAUGGGCAAUAGAAAUCUAACUAGCUUCAAGUAUGAUACAUGGUUAUGUGGUGCAUCAUCCAAAAAAUUGGCACCUAACCACUUCGAAAUAUAAAAUCCUUAGCUUUGAGCUCGAUUGGCACUACAAUGCUAAAAAUUAGGUGGUUGACAUCAACGACUACUUCACCCCACAAAUGCUCCUGGAUAACAUGGCACUUCAUGCAAAACUCAUGCUACACAAAUGGCAAAGCGACUAUUCUACUAUUGAUUCAACAGCAUGGCGAUUCUCAGCUGAUGGUCAAUAUUCGAUUAUGAUUGAAUGUGCAAACCGUGGGUCCCAUCAAAAUGUAAAUUCUUUGUUUGU